This 1556-nucleotide ribosomal RNA is filed under the name Escherichia coli. RNAcentral's name for it is "bacterial SSU rRNA". It matches the Rfam family "Bacterial small subunit ribosomal RNA". The record is from RNAcentral. Lineage: Bacteria; Pseudomonadati; Pseudomonadota; Gammaproteobacteria; Enterobacterales; Enterobacteriaceae.
UUAAAUUGAAGAGUUUGAUCAUGGCUCAGAUUGAACGCUGGCGGCAGGCCUAACACAUGCAAGUCGAACGGUAACAGGAAGCAGCUUGCUGCUUUGCUGACGAGUGGCGGACGGGUGAGUAAUGUCUGGGAAACUGCCUGAUGGAGGGGGAUAACUACUGGAAACGGUAGCUAAUACCGCAUAACGUCGCAAGACCAAAGAGGGGGACCUUCGGGCCUCUUGCCAUCGGAUGUGCCCAGAUGGGAUUAGCUUGUUGGUGGGGUAACGGCUCACCAAGGCGACGAUCCCUAGCUGGUCUGAGAGGAUGACCAGCCACACUGGAACUGAGACACGGUCCAGACUCCUACGGGAGGCAGCAGUGGGGAAUAUUGCACAAUGGGCGCAAGCCUGAUGCAGCCAUGCCGCGUGUAUGAAGAAGGCCUUCGGGUUGUAAAGUACUUUCAGCGGGGAGGAAGGGAGUAAAGUUAAUACCUUUGCUCAUUGACGUUACCCGCAGAAGAAGCACCGGCUAACUCCGUGCCAGCAGCCGCGGUAAUACGGAGGGUGCAAGCGUUAAUCGGAAUUACUGGGCGUAAAGCGCACGCAGGCGGUUUGUUAAGUCAGAUGUGAAAUCCCCGGGCUCAACCUGGGAACUGCAUCUGAUACUGGCAAGCUUGAGUCUCGUAGAGGGGGGUAGAAUUCCAGGUGUAGCGGUGAAAUGCGUAGAGAUCUGGAGGAAUACCGGUGGCGAAGGCGGCCCCCUGGACGAAGACUGACGCUCAGGUGCGAAAGCGUGGGGAGCAAACAGGAUUAGAUACCCUGGUAGUCCACGCCGUAAACGAUGUCGACUUGGAGGUUGUGCCCUUGAGGCGUGGCUUCCGGAGCUAACGCGUUAAGUCGACCGCCUGGGGAGUACGGCCGCAAGGUUAAAACUCAAAUGAAUUGACGGGGGCCCGCACAAGCGGUGGAGCAUGUGGUUUAAUUCGAUGCAACGCGAAGAACCUUACCUGGUCUUGACAUCCACGGAAGUUUUCAGAGAUGAGAAUGUGCCUUCGGGAACCGUGAGACAGGUGCUGCAUGGCUGUCGUCAGCUCGUGUUGUGAAAUGUUGGGUUAAGUCCCGCAACGAGCGCAACCCUUAUCCUUUGUUGCCAGCGGUCCGGCCGGGAACUCAAAGGAGACUGCCAGUGAUAAACUGGAGGAAGGUGGGGAUGACGUCAAGUCAUCAUGGCCCUUACGACCAGGGCUACACACGUGCUACAAUGGCGCAUACAAAGAGAAGCGACCUCGCGAGAGCAAGCGGACCUCAUAAAGUGCGUCGUAGUACGGAUUGGAGUCUGCAACUCGACUCCAUGAAGUCGGAAUCGCUAGUAAUCGUGGAUCAGAAUGCCACGGUGAAUACGUUCCCGGGCCUUGUACACACCGCCCGUCACACCAUGGGAGUGGGUUGCAAAAGAAGUAGGUAGCUUAACCUUCGGGAGGGCGCUUACCACUUUGUGAUUCAUGACUGGGGUGAAGUCGUAACAAGGUAACCGUAGGGGAACCUGCGGUUGGAUCACCUCCUUACCUUAAAGAAGC